UUACAAACCCUUGUGUGGAGAUCUGACUUUCAAUAGAUCGCAGCGAGGGAGCUGCUCUGCUACGUACGAAACCCCGACCCAGAAGCAAGUCGUCUACGAAUGGUUUAGCGCCAGGUUCCCCACGAACGCGCCGCGGGGCUGCCGUAUCGUUCCGCCUGGGCGGGAUUCUGACUUAAGAGGCGUUCAGUCAUAAUCCCACAGAUGGUAGCUUCGCCCCAUUGGCUCCUCAGCCAA
This 234-nucleotide long non-coding RNA is filed under the name Homo sapiens (human). Its description in RNAcentral is "HSALNT0371521". The record is from RNAcentral. Lineage: Eukaryota; Metazoa; Chordata; Mammalia; Primates; Hominidae.